This 249-nucleotide ribosomal RNA is filed under the name uncultured Acidimicrobiales bacterium. RNAcentral describes it as "partial 16S ribosomal RNA". It matches the Rfam family "Bacterial small subunit ribosomal RNA", at positions 355 to 621 of the family's 1533-position model. The record is from RNAcentral. Lineage: Bacteria; Bacillati; Actinomycetota; Acidimicrobiia; Acidimicrobiales.
UGGGGAAUCUUGCGCAAUGGGCGAAAGCCUGACGCAGCAACGCCGCGUGCGGGAAGAAGGCUUUCGGGCUGUAAACCGCUUUCAGCAGGAACGAAAAUGACGGUACCUGCAGAAGAAGGAGCGGCCAACUAUGUGCCAGCAGCCGCGGUGAUACAUAGGCUUCAAGCGUUGUCCGGAUUUAUUGGGCGUAAAGAGUUCGUAGGCGGUCAAGUAAGUCGGGUGUGAAAAUUCUGGGCUUAACCCAGAGAC